Molecule: non-coding RNA, 2468 nt
Organism: Vicugna pacos (alpaca)
Lineage: Eukaryota; Metazoa; Chordata; Mammalia; Artiodactyla; Camelidae
Source: RefSeq, a predicted model, not a curated record
AUAAAUUGGGAGUUUGAGAUUUGCAGAUACUAAUAUAUAUAAAAUAGAUAAGCAACAAGUUCAUACUGGAAAAGUGAGUUUUUGCGUACCUACAGUAACCAGAGAAUGAUUCUUCCUGGUGGUGUUGUAUGCAUUUGAUGCUUGACUGCAGAAAUGUGGUCAAGUCAACCUCAUAUUGGGGGGAGGAGACCCUGGCCCACCCAUGUCGUAAAGGUAGGGUGCAGGAAAUAACAAGGGGUCAGAGCUUCCUCCCUGAUCAGGAGGCCUUGGAGGACCACACCUGUGAGUCUUCAGAAUCCACCUGGAGCGGCUCAGGCCUCAUAGUUUCACCAAAUACCUGGACUGGUCCAAACAUGUCCAGAGGCCUUCUCCUUUGGCCCACAGGCACACCUCUAAACUAUUUGUCCUCAGAAUUUCCAGCUUUAUGAAUGGACUGGCUCCUCCAAAUUGACUUCAUGAAUUGAAAAUGAUUGGAAGUGAGUCUCUUAAUUUGACUGCCCUAAGUAGGGCUGCCAUAUAGGGUCUAGGCCCUGGCGAGAAAAAGUAGAGGCAGGGGUUUGUUAGCUAAAAGUACUUAUAUGAGAUCUGUAUGAAUAUGCAGCCUAGUUACAUCCUAGUUUCCCUUCCAGGCUGACAUCUUCUGUCUUGGUGGCCCCAGCCCUGGUUCUGGGCCAUCCUAUUUUAGCUGGAAUUCCCAAGUUUUUUUUUUUUUCAUCUUCUUCUUUAAAAAGACGUCAGUCCUUACUGGAUAUGGUCAAGGAUUUGCUAACUCUCCAUAGUAAGUUUCUUCUCGAUUGUCCUGGAUGGAAGACCUGAGCUUCAAAAGAUGAAUAUAUCCCAUAACUAUGCUUCUGGUUGGAGAACACCUAGCUAGGAGAGUGCUGGUUCCAGGAAGUGGAUGAGGCUCCAUGUCCAAGUAUCCAAUUCACUCCCUACCAGAAAAAAAAGGAGAAGAAGAAGAAAAUGAGUUGAGUUUGCCAGGUAAGACAAGCUGCAAUAAAGGCAUACCUGACCUCCCAUUACAGGGCAACGAAUGACCUCUGCCAGAGCGAGCACUGGCUUACCUCCUGGAAGAAGAAGGGUCCAGGGGUCAGACCCUUCCAGGGAAUGGAAUAGAAGUACCAAGCCAUCACUCAAACAGCAACCUCGGCUGGAAUCCAGCCUCCCCAAGAUUCUGCUACAGUGGAAGAGAGCCAGGGAAGCUGUCAGCUACUGUGGCUUAGUCCCACUGCUUCCAGAAAGGAUUGUUCAGGCCUAGAAUGGUGAAGAAGACUCCAGCCCAGGCAUGGUCUGAGUGACAGCACGCCAUGACACAUGCCCACAUUGGCGCAACUACAAUACAGCUGAUGGACGUGGCACCUGGCCUCCACUUGCCAGCAGGGCCCCCAAGAAGAAGCUGAACUAUCUCUAGCUAUCUCAGGAUCGAUGCAGAAGAUGUUACUUUUAUUGCCACAGUGUCUGAGGAACAGUACAGAAGGUACAUAAAGUGUACUGGAGAGGACCCAGAUCAAAUUCAUCAAUCUGAAAGUUGAUUUCUUCCAGGCUGAAGAUCUAUGUGUAUAGUUUCAGUGCAGCUUCUGCAACCCCAGUGCAUCCAGCCAUACCAAUUUCAUGUUCACAGCACACUCUACUAGCCACCCCCAGGAUCAUGCAAAUACAUUUCCAGUCAUUUCUGGAACCAGCUGAAAGAUGGGGAUUGUCUAUGCAGUAAACAAGUUUCAAAUGAAAAGAGAUAAAAAUUACUUUCAAAAUGUAUCAAGUGUCAACAGUGUAACAUCUUCAUUGAAAGUGUCUGUAGUCGCUUUGUAGCUCUACAUUGAUCCCAGCUGUUCGGUGGCCCAGGCCUCUUUUACAUUCACUACACCACAAAGCACCUCAAAGCACAGGCAAGAUUAUAGGUAGAUGAGAUACUGCUAAAAACAUAAAAUCCCAUCAAGUUCGCCAGUAACCAUCGCAUGCCCCUAUUAAAAUCACCAGGCAAAGUAACCCUAACACUAUGGAAUGUUUUUAAUUUAAAGUACGUUAAAACAUUUAAUUUAAUUACAUUAAAAUUACGUUAAAGCCCAAUUCCUACCUCACCAUUUCAAAUGGAAAUUCCUUCACUGACUGUUUUAACAAAAAUUAUCUCUAAAGAAAAGUUAUCUUGAUUAAAGGACAAAUUGCAUCAUAGAAACUAUUUAUAAGCACGUUGCUACUUGCCAAGCUAUCUUAUGAUUAAAAACUCAGUUCUGCAUUUUUGUAUUAUCUGUAUUUUCUGAAUAUGAAUCUUUUAUACAACUUUAUACUUUCAUUGAGCUGAAUUGGGCACGAUUGCACAAUUGUAUGCUGAGUUGUAAACAAAACAGCAUUUUCAUAUUUGCUCUAUUCAGCCAUAAAGCUAACAUAACGUUUGACAAUUCUACCCCGAAAGUGAUUUAUUGAUAAUUCACUUCCCCUAAAAUAAUAAAUGUCCUGAAUCACUACUUACA